GAUGAAGAACGCAGCGAAAUGCGAUAAGUAGUGUGAAUUGCAGAAUUCAGUGAAUCAUCGAAUCUUUGAACGCACAUUGCGCCCCUUGGUAUUCCAUGGGGCAUGCCUGUUCGAGCGUCAUUUGUACCUUCAAGCUUUGCUUGGUGUUGGGUGUUUGUCCAUUCUCUUGCAGAGGGACUCGCCUUAAAGUAAUUGGCAGCCAGUGUUUUGGUUUUGAAGCGCAGCACAAGUCGCGAUUCAAAGCUAUACGCCCGCUUCCACAAGCCUUUUUCACUUUUGACCUCGGAUCAGGUAGGGAUACCCGCUGAACUUAAGCAUAUCAAUAAGCGGAGGA
RNAcentral lists this unclassified non-coding RNA (334 nucleotides) under soil metagenome. RNAcentral describes it as "partial contains 5.8S ribosomal RNA, internal transcribed spacer 2, and large subunit ribosomal RNA". The stretch from base 1 to 120 matches the Rfam family "5.8S ribosomal RNA", at positions 35 to 154 of the family's 154-position model. The record is from RNAcentral.